RNAcentral lists this ribosomal RNA (488 nucleotides) under uncultured bacterium. RNAcentral describes it as "partial 16S ribosomal RNA". It matches the Rfam family "Bacterial small subunit ribosomal RNA", at positions 28 to 507 of the family's 1533-position model. The record is from RNAcentral.
GACGAACGCUGGCGGCGUGCUUAACACAUGCAAGUCGAACGGAAAGGCCCUGCUUUUGUGGGGUGCUCGAGUGGCGAACGGGUGAGUAACACGUGAGUAACCUGCCCUUGACUUUGGGAUAACUUCAGGAAACUGGGGCAAAUACCGGAUAGGAGCUCCUGCUGCAUGGGGGGGGUUGGAAAGUUUCGGCGGUUGGGGAUGGACUCGCGGCUUAUCAGAUUGUUGGUGGGGUAGAGGGCUACCAAGGCGUCGACGGGUAGCCGGCCGGAGAGGGGGACAGGCCACACGGGGACUGGGCCACGGACCAGACUACUGCGGGAGGCAGCAGUGGGGAAUGUGGGACAAUGGGGGGAAGCCUGGCCCAGCAAUGCCGCGUGUGUGACGAAGGCCUUCGGGUUGUAAAGCACUUUUGUGCGGAAAGAAAUCCUUGACUCUAAUACAGACGGGGGAUGACGGUACCGGAAGAAGAAGCACCGGCUAACUACGUG